UGUCCCCGGCGCUCCGCGCUACCCGCGGUGAUGGGAUCGCUCCCGCGGGGCGUCUGCAGCCAACGGAGGGAGAACCGAACCGGGUUUUUAAUAGCGGCCCAUUAGGGCCGUCACACCAUCUCCAUCUGACAGCGUCCGAUCCACGCUGCUCUCCCGGGGCACAACGGGAGGGCAGAGCCCGGGCUCUUCUUUCCCCCCCUGGGAAAAUCACUGCCCUGCCGUUGUAUACCUCCCUUCCAAGACCUGCGCCGCUAAGGAAGGGUUCUGCACCCCGAGCCUCGGCAAGGAGACCCGACCCACGGCGUGCUUCGGGAGCGGAACAUUGCAGAGUUAAACAGAAAACAAACACACAGCAUUUUGGCUUGGAACAGAUGCAGAUAACCCCAACCCCCACAGAUCUCCCCCCCCCCCCCCCAUAUCCCACCUGUCCAUCCGACCCCGCUCUGUGCCUCCCCAUCACAGGUUGGUUUUGUCCCCAGCCCUGCACAGAAUCGCGCCUUGUGGUUCUUUUUCCAUGCACCUGCAUUGCACAGAGCACCCACAGCAGGAGCGGAGGGGGGUUAAGUGCCCUCCCAGACCCAUUCUCAGCACUGGGAUUCCUCCAGGGGGCAAAGAAGUCCC
Molecule: long non-coding RNA, 621 nt
Filed under: Gallus gallus (chicken)
Lineage: Eukaryota; Metazoa; Chordata; Aves; Galliformes; Phasianidae
Source: RNAcentral